RNAcentral lists this unclassified non-coding RNA (158 nucleotides) under uncultured Ascomycota. Its description in RNAcentral is "sequence contains ITS2". The record is from RNAcentral. Lineage: Eukaryota; Fungi; Ascomycota.
CAACCCUCAAGCCUGGCUUGGUGCUGGGGCGCUGCCCGUAAGACGGCAGGCCCUGAAAUCCAGUGGCGGGCUCGCCGGGACCCCGGGCGCAGUAGUUUAUACCCUCGCCCCGGAAGGCCCUGGCGGUGCCCUGCCGUUAAACCCCCCAACUCAUGAAA